GAUGAACGCUGGCGGCGUGCCUAAUACAUGCAAGUCGAGCGAACAGACGAGGAGCUUGCUCCUCUGACGUUAGCGGCGGACGGGUGAGUAACACGUGGAUAACCUACCUAUAAGACUGGGAUAACUUCGGGAAACCGGAGCUAAUACCGGAUAAUAUAUUGAACCGCAUGGUUCAAUAGUGAAAGACGGUUUUGCUGUCACUUAUAGAUGGAUCCGCGCCGCAUUAGCUAGUUGGUAAGGUAACGGCUUACCAAGGCAACGAUGCGUAGCCGACCUGAGAGGGUGAUCGGCCACACUGGAACUGAGACAGGGUCCAGACCCCUACGGGAGGCAGCAGUAGGGAAUCUUCCGCAAUGGGCGAAAGCUUGACGGAGCAACGCCGCGUGAGUAAUGAAGGUCUUCGGAUCGUAAAACUCUGUUAUUAGGUAAGAACAAAUGUGUAAGUAACUAUGCACGUCUUGACGGUACCUAAUCAGAAAGCCACGGCUAACUACGUG
RNAcentral lists this ribosomal RNA (497 nucleotides) under uncultured bacterium. RNAcentral describes it as "partial 16S ribosomal RNA". It matches the Rfam family "Bacterial small subunit ribosomal RNA", at positions 28 to 507 of the family's 1533-position model. The record is from RNAcentral.